UCAAUUAUAGCCAUUUGAUCAUGGAAUUGUUUUGCCACGUGUUACGAUCUGAAUGUGUGACACUGUGAGCCUUGUCACACACGAUCACACUCAGAUCACACAGCUGCGAAAUCGCUCGUCUACGCCGUCGCCGUUUCAAAGCUUCUUCUCCAUCGUCUUCUCCGUUUCAAAGCUUCUUCUCCGUCGUCUUCUCCGUUCUCUCCAUCGUCUGUUCAUUGUAGUACUAGAGUAAGCUUCUUCUCCGUCGCCGUUUCAAAGCUUCUUCUCCAUCGUCUUCUCCGUUUCAAAGUUUCUUCUCCGUCAUCUUCUCCAUUCUCUCCAUCGUCUGUUCAUUGUAGUACUAGAGUUUGGACUGAAUGGUGCUGAUAAUGUUAUAAAUUGGAUGAGAUAUUCUCGUCGUCUUUUGCAGCUGCUAUGUACUUGAAGGUCAACAAUUUCCCUACCCAAAACAAGGUUUAUGUGAUUGGUGGGGAUGGUAUACUGGAUGAGUUGCAGCUUGCUGGCUUCACAGCUUUUGGUGGUCCUGGUGAUGCAGAUAAAACAAUAGACUGGAAGCAGACUGGAAUUUUUGAACAAAUGAUGAGCUAACUAGUAAGGAUGUUAUUUUAUGUUGCUAAUAAGUUACUAAUUUGGUCAUCUCCCAUGUUAAAUUGCAGGUUCGGUUGAAGAGUCUUGGUUUUUCUUCUUCAGCUCAAGUCAAACUGUAUAGAUCAUACUGGUUCAAUAAGAUAGGGGUGAUGGUAGUGCUUGGUUAUUGAUCACAUUUGUUCUAUAGUUUAAGGCGAAAAUGGAAAUGCAUUUGUGAAUAAGUGUGUACUAUAGGUUGUGAAUAAUGGUUUGAAUAUUCAAGAUUUAAAAAAUCUAUUUUACUCUCAUAGUCAAUAUUAAUGGGUUCACAACACUGAAACCAUUUAACAAGACUAAUGGUUUCAGUGUAUAACAUAUUGAAACCAUUUAAUAAGACUAAUGGUUUCAGUGUAUAACAUUAGUCAAUGGAUUAUAAAUAUACUAGUAACUACUACUAUUGAUAUGGACUAAGCAAUGUAUAAUUUUUCAAGUCAAAAAUUGCGAGAAUUAGUGUCA
Long non-coding RNA from Trifolium pratense (red clover), 1083 nucleotides. RefSeq lists it as uncharacterized. The transcript is spliced from 5 exons. The record is from RefSeq and is a predicted model, not a curated record. Lineage: Eukaryota; Viridiplantae; Streptophyta; Magnoliopsida; Fabales; Fabaceae.